UACGGGGGGAGCAAGCGUUGUUCGGAUUUACUGGGCGUAAAGGGCGCGUAGGCGGCGUAACAAGUCACUUGUGAAAUCUCCGGGCUUAACUCGGAGCGGUCAAGUGAUACUGUUGUGCUAGAGUGCGGAAGGGGCUACUGGAAUUCUCGGUGUAGCGGUGAAAUGCGUAGAUAUCGAGAGGAACACCUGCGGCGAAGGCGGGUAGCUGGGCCGACACUGACGCUGAUGCGCGAAAGCCAGGGGAGCGAACGGG
Molecule: ribosomal RNA, 253 nt
Filed under: uncultured bacterium
Lineage: Bacteria
Description: partial 16S ribosomal RNA
Rfam family: Bacterial small subunit ribosomal RNA
Source: RNAcentral